This 496-nucleotide ribosomal RNA is filed under the name uncultured bacterium. Its description in RNAcentral is "partial 16S ribosomal RNA". It matches the Rfam family "Bacterial small subunit ribosomal RNA", at positions 29 to 507 of the family's 1533-position model. The record is from RNAcentral.
AUGAACGCUGGCGGCGUGCCUAAUACAUGCCAGUCGAGCGCACAGACGAGGAGCUUGCUCCUCUGACGUUAGCGGCGGACGGGUGAGUAACACGUGGAUAACCUACCUAUAAGACUGGGAUAACUUCGGGAAACCGGAGCUACUACCGGAUAAUAUAUUGAACCGCAUGGUUCAAUAGUGAAAGACGGUUUUGCUGUCACUUAUAGAUGGAUCCGCGCCGCAUUAGCUAGUUGGUAAGGUAACGGCUUACCAAGGCAACGAUGCGUAGCCGACCUGAGAGGGUGAUCGGCCACACUGGAACUGAGACACGGUCCAGACUCCUACGGGAGGCAGCAGUAGGGAAUCUUCCGCAAUGGGCGAAAGCUUGACGGAGCAACGCCGCGUGAGUGAUGAAGGUCUUCGGAUCGUAAAACUCUGUUAUUAGGGAAGAACAAAUGUGUAAGUAACUAUGCACGUCUUGACGGUACCUAAUCAGAAAGCCACGGCUAACUACGUG